RNAcentral lists this small nuclear RNA (164 nucleotides) under Trifolium pratense (red clover). RNAcentral describes it as "snRNA U2". It matches the Rfam family "U2 spliceosomal RNA", at positions 1 to 161 of the family's 192-position model. From Rfam's summary of the family: U2 is a small nuclear RNA (snRNA) component of the spliceosome (involved in pre-mRNA splicing). Complementary binding between U2 snRNA (in an area lying towards the 5' end but 3' to hairpin I) and the branchpoint sequence (BPS) of the intron results the bulging out of an unpaired adenosine, on the BPS, which initiates a nucleophilic attack at the intronic 5' splice site, thus starting the first of two transesterification reactions that mediate splicing. The record is from RNAcentral. Lineage: Eukaryota; Viridiplantae; Streptophyta; Magnoliopsida; Fabales; Fabaceae.
AUACCUUUCUCGGCCUUUUGGCUAAGAUCAAGUGUAGUAUCUGUUCUUAUCAGUUUAAUAUCUGAUAUGUGACUCAUUGAGUCACACGAUAUUAAAUUACUUUUUUUAGGGGGAGAAGCCACUACAAUAGCUUGCUAUUGGGCUUCUCAAGUGUCGNNNNNNNN